Molecule: long non-coding RNA, 799 nt
Organism: Drosophila obscura
Lineage: Eukaryota; Metazoa; Arthropoda; Insecta; Diptera; Drosophilidae
Exons: 3
Source: RefSeq, a predicted model, not a curated record
AGUUGUUAGCCGAGAAAGGCAGGCGUCAAGAAAGAUGGCACAAAAUACAAAUAAGUUACCAAUUAUCAUAUUUAUUGAGCAUUUGAUGGAGCAGCGCUCGUUGUGGCGCCAAGACCCGCUCUAUGGCUUUGUGGCCUGCCCGAUAAAAAUGCAGUGUGGAAGCCCAAAUUACUUUAUCUGGGAGUGCACCAUUCCGGGCGAAGACAAUACGCCAUGGAGACAUGCUCGAUACCAGCUCACACUGACAUUUAUCACCCAAAAAUUUCUGCCCAUGGUGCGAUUUCACGUGCCGCUGUUUCACCCCAACGUCGAUCAGUUGGGCUACAUGAAUUAUGAGUGGAAGGACGUGGUGGGAGAGCCUCACAACAUCAAGGAUACUCUUACGACCAUACAGCGCAUACUCAGCCGACCUGACUUAGAUGACGAUAGCCAUUUGGAAGCCCGUGAUAUGUUCAUAUCUAAACCUGAUUCGUAUUAUUUCCAGGCGCGUCUGCAGGCUCUCAAGAUUUUAGAGGAUGAAGAGUCUCUAUACUAGCCGCUCCCCCUGGCAAAGAAUACACCCACGCAGGAGAACGAAUGAUCUUGGAUGACAAGAAUGAUUCAGAACUCCGCUGCUGUUUUCCCCUUAAUAUUUAUGCAGAAUAUAUUCACACAUACAUAUGUACUUAUUUUACACUCGCUGUGGCACCUACUUUGGUGGAAAAACAAGAAGGAUUUUGGAAUCCUCUGCUCUUCGUACUGGUUGGGCAACAAUUAUAGAAAAACUAAACACACAUGUACACAAUUCAUGAUGCUCCAU